Long non-coding RNA from Megalobrama amblycephala (Wuchang bream), 2543 nucleotides. RefSeq lists it as uncharacterized. The transcript is spliced from 3 exons. The record is from RefSeq and is a predicted model, not a curated record. Lineage: Eukaryota; Metazoa; Chordata; Actinopteri; Cypriniformes; Xenocyprididae.
UAUAAAUAUGCAUUAAAUUUAGGUUGUAUGUUGAUGAAUUGUGUUUGAAAUCAUUCAUUUCUCAUUCUUUAGAAGUCAAGACAAAUAGAAUUGUUAAUUAAAGCACUUCUGACAACUCACUGCUGCAGAAAUGCAAAUAUUCCCAGUUGAAAUGGCAAGUAAUUUGAAAAGAUUAGUGUAAUUUUAACUGCAUGGGGGAAAAAAUGCUAAUAAGUUAACUACAGGGGAUUAACUAACUAAUACAGGGGGAAGAAACCUAGACAUUUCAUGUUUUUUUUUAACAGUAAAAUACUGUUAAAUGUACAGUUUUUAAAAGUUAUGCACAUUUGGGUUUCAUGUUACAUUUUCUUUUGUUUAAAGUGCCCCUAUUAUGCCUUUUUUAAGGUUCGUAAUAUUGUUUUGGGAGUCUCCUACAACAGGUUUUAAUGCAUGCAAGGUCAAAAAACACUUUUGUUUUCUCAUAAUAUACAUUUAAUUUCACCUCAGUUCUCAAUGUUUCAUAAACAAUUUGUUUGAAGCAGUUCAAAGAAUCAGUCUCUCUAAACCCUCCUUUCCGUGAACCUACACAGCUCUGAUUGGUCAGAUGGCCCAGUCUUAUGUCAUUGGUCUACUGCAUGCAACACGCGCCCAUUGUCAUAACUGAAUGACAGCUAUCAAUUCAAUUGACAGGCAUGGCGGCCAUCUUGGCUGAGGGUUCAGGCGUGGCGGCCAUGACAGGACGAGACUUUGGAGUGGCGGCCAUGACGGGACGGGACGAGACUCUGGAAUGGCGGCCAUGACGGGACGAGACUCUGGAACGGCGGCCAUGACGGGACGAGAUUCUGGAAUGGCGGCCAUGACGGGAUGAGACUCUGGAAUGGCGGCCAUGACGGAAUGAGACUCUGGAACGGCGGCCAUGAAGGGACGAGACUGGUGACUUUCUCUCAAUAGAACCGAUGCUGUGAUGGUUAAGCUGUGGCCUCUCUCAGUCAGGAUCUUCAUGAGGUAGUCAGUCAGGUCAUGGCCAGUCUCACGUAGCCAGACCUUCAGACUGAUGGCAGAAGGUCUGGACUCUAUCACAGCUUUCACUGGACAAGGACUGCCCAAGAGGAUAUUUGACUCUCAUGUAAAGCAACCAAUCACAGUUUGUUUUGUUUUGUGUCAUGUUUACAGGCGUGAAAAUGUAAAGUCAAUGUGCCUGCAAUAACAGACCAGCGUGCAUCUAUAAAUUAUUCAUACAAGAGCAUUGUGCACGAUUACUGCAACAACGGAGCCAGGAACUUCACAUACUUUUGAAAAUCCAGUGUUUAGUUGAUCCUGGUAAGCGCUUGGAAACACGAAGGCUUUCUUUUUCCGUGAGGGGGUUUAGCAUUGCGGCAUUUGUUUCCAGGUGAACCGAUAAAGAACGCGACACAUGUCUCCCGGACAUCCUGUAGAAUUUAACUAACCAGAUGACAACUUCGAUACUCCUGAAGUGUUUCCAGUUAAGUGUACCAUACGCAUCAGACAUUUAGCCAAUGGUCCGUGGGUGUGACGACUGAGGCUGAGACUAGGUCAUGGCCAGCCAAAUCCAGAUUUACUGCUGCUAGAUCAUUUAUGGUCAGUCGUACUGUAACAGUUUCUGUACUAGUGUAAUUCAGCUUUUGGAAAGAACUUCUUCAUAAUUCUUCACGUGGCUUCCUCUUUUACCACCAUUAUGGUUGUCAGUAUGUUAAAGGUAUGAAAUAGAUUUUAGUAGCAAUGUGCGUUGUUGGAUUUGCCGGUAUAAAUUGAAAUUGUUUGUAAACAUUUACAUGUUUUAUGUAUUGUAUAAGUAUGAGGUUACAUCUGCUUAUUUGUACUUAAAUGUUUUUUUUUUUUUUUUUAUUUGUAUCAGUGUGCAGAAAAGCGUGCCAAAACCACAAAUUCUCACAUGUUCUCAAGUUGUCAUUAUACAUCAUAAUAUACUGUAAUUAACAAAUUCCCCUCUCUCAAGAUUGCAUUCUCAGAUAUUAUGUGGAGGAAAUUAUGACAGGUGGAAAAACACUGAAGUGGUAAACAUGUUCCUAAUAUGGUAAAAGGACAGGGGCUUCAGCCUUGGAGAUUAGAGAUAAAGUCUCUGUGCACGUUGCUGGGUCGAAGUUGGAGGCAACAAAUGGUCAGGAUUUUGCCAUACCCUUCGGAAUUGUUAAACUGAAGAGAGUUGAAGAAGUGAAAGUAAUUUUUGAAGGAGAAGACCAGAAAAAAUCUUUAAUUGCAAGAUACUGUUCCCAUUUAUACACUGUUCCGAGCUGUAAACUCAAGAAAACACAUGGAGUCUCGCUGCAAGUUGAAGAAAGAAAUGUGUCCUUGAUUCUUCAAGAUGUCAACAUCUCCAGAUCGGGACAUUAUAAAUUACAAGCCUUCUGUGGAAAGGACGUGUGUGAGAUCACUGUCACACUUGUGGUCAACAGACCACCAUUGUCCAAUAGAGCACCACCUCACACCUCCAUCUCCACCUCCUCUGAACUUCAAGGGUUAUUAACAGCUGCAGCCAUCAUCAUCAUCAUCACCAUCAUCAUUUUUGCUUCUUCUGACCUUUUAAU